AAUGUACCUGGGCAAGGGUUCA
This 22-nucleotide microRNA is filed under the name Cavia porcellus (domestic guinea pig). RNAcentral's name for it is "cpo-miR-502a-3p". Its record names the gene cpo-miR-502a-3p. Lineage: Eukaryota; Metazoa; Chordata; Mammalia; Rodentia; Caviidae. The record is from miRBase by way of RNAcentral.